GCUUUGAAUUUGUGUCCCACCCCUGUGAUUGGAGCUCAAUAUCAGAGCGUCUGUCAGUCCGACUGUAAAUCCAACAUCACUGUCCUUCAGUUUCACUCAUUCCCAGUAAAGAUGAGGACACACGCUCUGAUCAUCUGCUCUCUGCUGCUGCUGCUCAACGAGUGUAGAGGACAGAUCACCGUCACUCAGAGUCCCUCAAUGACAGCAGCUCAACCAGGACAAACUGUGAACAUCAACUGUAAAACCAGCACAGAUGUGCGCAAUGGAGAUAAUUUACACUGGUACUUACAGAAACCUGGAGAAGCUCCUAAACUCCUGAUUUAUUGGGCCAACCGCCGUCAGUCAGGAACUCCAUCUAGAUUCAGUGGCAGUGGAUCUAACAGUGAUUUCACUCUGACCAUCAGUGGAGUCCAGACUGAAGAUGCUGGACAUUAUUACUGUAUGAGUCGCCACUGCAUAACUAAUUGGCUUGGUGUUUGUAAUGUUGAUUAUCAUCAAUUAGUCAGAUGUCACACACAGUAAUGGAGGAAAAAUCACAAUCAUUUCAUCUUUAUAGAAAUUCCACAUCACUGCUUUCUUUCAUAAACCACAUAGUAAUGAUCCUGCAUUUAAAUUUCAAUAUUCU
This is a non-coding RNA of Megalobrama amblycephala (Wuchang bream), 625 nucleotides long. NCBI's taxonomy places the organism in Eukaryota, Metazoa, Chordata, Actinopteri, Cypriniformes, Xenocyprididae. The record is from the annotation of a RefSeq genome assembly.